Long non-coding RNA from Oncorhynchus nerka (sockeye salmon), 2018 nucleotides. RefSeq lists it as uncharacterized. NCBI's taxonomy places the organism in Eukaryota, Metazoa, Chordata, Actinopteri, Salmoniformes, Salmonidae. The transcript has 3 exons. The record is from RefSeq and is a predicted model, not a curated record.
UCAUGUUUGGUUAAACUAUAGUUCUUAUAACUAGGGAAAAGAAAUAACAAUAUUCCCCAACAUCCAUAUGUAUUUGGACAGUGACAUUAUUCAAAACAUGCUGUAAUUUCUAAAUGGUUCAUUUGAAACACAUUCUUAUAGCUGACAGUCUGCACUUUAACCCCAUUGUCAUUUUAUCUUUGAAAAGCCAAUGUGCUGGACUACAGAGCCAAAACAAAAAUGUUGUCAUUGCCCAAAUACUUACAGAUUGCAUCUUGUGCUGGUUUAAGUUACUUUGUAUAAAACCAAACUGGUCAGGCUAUAUACAUUUUGCCCAGAUUGAUACAAUAAUUUUGUCCACAGAGGAAACAUCCAUUAAAGAUGACAUACUACAAUAUGCUCACCUCUGCAACAACAAACAAACGAACCAAGGAACUAUCAAACAGCUCAACUUGCAAGCAAGCAAAGAUGUCUGAAAUGAUGGAAGUGGCAGGAGCCAGGUGCAUCUCACAGGCAACCGUUGACAAGCUUGCCAUUCUCUGUGGUCGAACAACUAGCUUUUAAAGAGUUGGUAACCACUCUGCAUCCUCAAUGCAAAGUUAUCUCCAGACCUACUGUUCGUUCAAGAAUACAUGAAGCUGCCAAUCACAUGAAGAAGACGGUUAUGGCACACCUUGGCAGGGUAAAUUAUGUUGCCACCACCACUGAUUGUUGGACAGCUCAUCAAAGGAGUUAUAUCGGGGUCACAUGUCACUGGAUAGAUGAAGAAACUCUGGUGAGACGUUCUGCUGCACUCACUUGCAAGAGAUUGAGAGGUUCCCACACAUUUGAUGUGUUUGCAGGUGCCCUCGAUGACAUCCAUUGUGCAUAAAGGAUCAGGGAGAAAGUGGUAAGAACCACAACAAAGUGGAUCAAACUUUAUCAAAGCAUUCAAUGUUUUCAGUGAGCAGAGCCAGGCAGUCGAGUCAGCAGACCAAGACUCAGAUGCUGAAGAGCCAGCAGAGCAGGUUGAAUACCAAGACUCCUAUUCCAUCCUGGAAAAUGACAGUGGCCUAGACUAUCAACUCCCUCAGCAUCAACAGUGUGCAUGUCACCUGCUGAACCUCAUUUCAACAACAGAUUCUGCGUUGGCAGAAACAAAUAGUGAAAGCUACAAAAGGUUGUCCGGGUGGUCUUUUGCCAUAUGCCAAGCCAUGUGGAAUAAAACGGUCCGGUCAACCUUAGCUGCUGAAGUUGUAGAGAAUGAGUGCAAACUGCAGAUGAUCCAUCCAAAUCAAACACGUUGGAACUCAACUUACCUGGCUGUGGAGAGGAUCACACGUAUAAUACAAGAGAAGGGGAAGGAUGCCAUAAGAAAUAUGUGUGAAGAAUUAAGUGAAAAUGCUGAGCCCGGCAGAAAUGUCCUUCUUGAAUGAGUACUGCAAAGUGAUGAAGCCUUGAACGUUCUAGUCAAAUGCGCUUUGGAGAAAUGAUGGAGGAGCCACAGCUUAUUGCUGCUGCAAUCCUUCUGCGAAAGUUCAAGACUUCUUGCACUGACAAAACUGAUGUCAUCACUGCCGGUUUGGUGUACCUGAAGAAUCAUCUUGACACAAACACACAGGACGAGACUGAGCAUCUAAGGCAGCAUUCAUUGAUAAAGAGGGUUUCUUCUCAUCACUGACAACCAAACGGUCAGAAGGUACAGGGCAGCUGGAUGGGUAUCUUGCUGGUCCAUCGGACAAAAUAGAUUUACUUCAUUUGUUUUCCGUACAUAAAAAAGUUGUCCCUCAAACUCAACACAGGCCUGCCUGCAUCUGCCGCCUGUGGGCGUAUUUUUAGCUGUGCUGGACUACUCUUCACUGCAAAGCGAGCCAGGAUAGACUCAAUUAACUUAGGAAAUCAGCUCCUACUGAAACUGAAUGGCAAAUUCAGAGAGAAGUGAAUCAUUUAAGGGUUCGAUAGGUAGUUCCACAAAAAAAUAUUCCUUUUGAACAUUCCUUUGAACAUUUGUAUAUGUGAAGUUGAAGAUUUAAUAUUAAAAUCAGCUGUGCUGGAUCUUA